CUAUUUUCUAUCAAUGCUCCACUCUAGGAAUUUGAGAUGAUGUGCAAAGAGUGAUACACUCUAGGAAUGGUCCAUGUGUCGUACACCUGAGGAGCAUCCGCGGACGUCUUCUCGGAUGGCGUAGGUAUGGGCAUGUAGCGGGAGCCUCGUGGAGAUCAAGAUGAGGGCGGGCGAGCGAGGACCAUGCCGCCGUUGGAGGUGAGACAGACAUCUCUCUGAAUAUUUUUGUGGUGCGGUGCAUGCGGCUCUGUUCUCUGAAUUUUUUUGUGGUGCGAUUCAUGCAGCUCAGAUUGGUAGGAGUACUUGGCAAUAUUUGGAGUUGGAAUAUACUUGGAGUAAUCUGGAGCAGUAAUAUGGAUCUUGUUUCAAUAUAUUUCCAUAAAUAUUUGAAGCAAGAGUACAUCAAGAGUA
Long non-coding RNA from Lolium rigidum, 411 nucleotides. RefSeq lists it as uncharacterized. The record is from RefSeq and is a predicted model, not a curated record. The transcript has 2 exons. NCBI's taxonomy places the organism in Eukaryota, Viridiplantae, Streptophyta, Magnoliopsida, Poales, Poaceae.